Molecule: long non-coding RNA, 488 nt
Organism: Gallus gallus (chicken)
Lineage: Eukaryota; Metazoa; Chordata; Aves; Galliformes; Phasianidae
Exons: 3
Source: RefSeq, a predicted model, not a curated record
UUGUUCUACAGGACUACUUUCAAGAGAAUCACGGCAAGGAGAUUCUUUCAUAGGACUGGGUUCCAAAGAAUCAGGCGUUUUAUGUGAGGAGUUAUCUUCUAGAACUGGGCUUGCUUCCAGUGAGUCUUUAUGACUUACAGCCACAGAGUCAUCUGCAACUGGGCUAAAGCUUUCACUAUCAUGGCUAGCAAGUGAAAGUUCCAAUUUUUGGGGACUUCUAACCACAACACGGCGUUCACAGUGUGUAUCAACAAAUGGACAAGAGAAUGGAAGGAUGAGCAUUCAUACAAGCAAAAUAGCAAUAGCAGGAUCACUAGGGAUGUCAAAGGAAAGUACCUGGCAGACACAUUUGUUGUGAAGGAAACACAUUCAUUAACAAACGUCAAUGGUGUUGUUCCAGUGAUGUCUUCCCAUUGGGCAGGGGUGGUUCCUCCUGAAAUGACAGUGAUUUUUAAAAGAACGAAAAACAGGCAAGUCUGUUGGACAUC